This 1363-nucleotide unclassified non-coding RNA is filed under the name Hevea brasiliensis (rubber tree). The record is from RNAcentral. Lineage: Eukaryota; Viridiplantae; Streptophyta; Magnoliopsida; Malpighiales; Euphorbiaceae.
AAAAAUAGAAAAGAAAAGAAGACAUCAAUCAGAAGGACCAGUUCGACCGAAGCAUGAGGGCAAAUAUUCUGGCAUUACUUUCCACUGCAUAUGCAAUGCCUGGUUUUAUACUGAAUUUGUUCCCUAAAUUUAAUUUUAGGUAUGAUUCGGCCUGCAAAUGGGUCCAUUUACGGGAACCCUCAGCCAUCAUCCCACUUACACACAUACCCCAUCCAGAUUCAUCUUCAGAAUCAUCGAACAAGUUGACAGCCCAUUGUAAAGGGUUGGAAUUCGAAUUGUUCAUUUCAAUCCAACCACUAAUUGUAGUGUUCUCAUCAAGUUCUGUCUCCACCUUCACAGCAAUUGAUCCUGUUGAGAAAGUUUGAAGGGUAUUUGUUUCUGACAAUGGAGCAGAUGCUUCGACCAUUGUCUCAGGAGCUUUAUGAUGCUACAGAAAGGCCAUGGGAAUGGUGAGGGCUCCAAGCUUGGCAUGGUGACUAGAUGAUUUUCGUAACUGGUGGACACCCAAAAGUGAGAGUUUUAUUCCUCUAGGUAGUUGACAGACAAGUCCGCCGAAUGUACUGAAGCACCGCCCAAUUCCGUCAGAACAUGGUUGCAUUCCAAAUCCAGAAACAGACUGAGCCAUUGAAGCAGUCACAUUUGAUUUUCUUACUUUCAAGCCAAUUGUACUACCAUUAGGCUGAUUCAAGAGUGGUGGCCCAACACAUGAAAGAUCAGCCAGGCCCUUUUUCUGGUUCAAAGAGUUGGUAGUGAUUCCAAGAUCUCUGAACUGAGCUCCCACUGGGGAUGCAAUUGCAGAGAACCAGUCACUAAUAAUUGCUAUGUAUGAUACCUUUGCCAGAGAAAGUGCACUUAGUGAAACUUCGUCAUCACAUUUUGUAGUUCCCACAAGCUCAGCCAGAAGCGCGUCCUUCUCCCGGAUAGUUGUUUCAAAAGUGAACCUUGAAUCAAUUCCAGUUUUAAUUCCUGCUCUACCAAGAGCAUCGUGAUGCUGCUGAUCAACAUUGCCCAACAAUAAUAUUGCCCCCAGCACAUCAAUCUCUCCCCUCACAUGGGUACUCGCUUCUUGAAAUGGACUUCUCUUGGAUGCUUUAUAGAAGGAAAGCGUUCGCUCAACCUUGUCUUGCCUGUCCCUAAGUUUCAUUAGAUCUGAAAAUGCUUCUCGUUGCAACCGCUUCAGGAUCUCAAUCGGAUUUCGGCGAGUAAAAUUUUCCUGGCGAUGAAGGAGACCGUCGACGAAUCCUUGGCCAGAUUUAGCAAGCCCUUUAAUUUUGUCUACCAACAAAGCCACAGGCUCCAUUUCAGAGAAAUUCUAAACGUAAAACCCUAGAGGACCUCUGGAUUUGACUAAGGCGGAGAGUGG